Molecule: ribosomal RNA, 237 nt
Filed under: uncultured Glomus
Lineage: Eukaryota; Fungi; Glomeromycota; Glomeromycetes; Glomerales; Glomeraceae
Description: partial 18S ribosomal RNA
Rfam family: Eukaryotic small subunit ribosomal RNA
Source: RNAcentral
AGCAGCCGCGGUAAUUCCAGCUCCAAUAGCGUAUAUUAAAGUUGUUGCAGUUAAAAAGCUCGUAGUUGAACUUCGGGGUUUACCCAUUGGUCAGGCUUAAUUGUCUGUACUGGUGAGAUGAAUCUCUACCUUCUGAGGAACUUUCAUGCCAUUUAUUUGGUGUGAUUGGAAAUCAGGACUGUUAACUUUGAAAAAUUAGAGUGUUUAAAGCAGGCUAACGUCUGAAUACAUUAGCAU